This 853-nucleotide long non-coding RNA is filed under the name Oreochromis niloticus (Nile tilapia). Its description in RNAcentral is "lncRNA (ENSONIG00000041293.1)". Lineage: Eukaryota; Metazoa; Chordata; Actinopteri; Cichliformes; Cichlidae. The record is from RNAcentral.
UAUCCUAUUCUUUUGAAUGAAUGAUGUCUUGAUGCCUUCUGUUUUUUCACAGUGAUAUUAAACAUCGCCAUGAAGCUGCUGAUUGUGUUUGCACUUCUUUGUGUAAUGGUCCCUCUGUUCAUUUCUGCUCAAGAAGGGGGUGAGACUGGGGAAGAGGAUAAGACAUCAGAAGAAGAUCUUCUAGAGAAGAGAGGCUUGGGGGGCAAACGUCGGUCUCCCGGCAUCUGGGGUGGACGUCGGUCUGGUGGUGGCAAACGUCCGUUUAGUGGUAAACUCAAUUGGGGCAGACAUCGGUUUGGUGGUAAAGUCAAGCUAGGCAGACAUAAGUUUGGUGGUAACGCCAAAUGGGGCAAAAAUGGGUUUUCUGGUGGAGUCAGCUGGCGAAGACGACAUGGGAAUCAGGUGUAUGAAUGAUAUAUGCCACACUAUUGACACCACUUUUAUCUGGGUCCGAAAAAGAAGAUGAUUCCUGUUCUUUCAUGGAAAGCAUGGUUCAUCGCACCAAGAAGCAAAUCAUUUCAUCCAACUCCCUGAACUAUCUUUUUACACUUUUACAUCUUUACUUUUUUUCUUUUACUGUAAUGCUACAUAAUGAAUGAAGCAACAAGUGACACAACUGGAGUGGACUGGGCCGUCUCUUUUAAGAGCAAAUGCUAUUCAUUUCUGUUCUUAUUAUCUUCAUCAUUAAACUCUUAAGCAUUAAAUCAAAAUAUUCUCUGAGUCUUUGUCACAUGUUACAAUUUCAUUGGCUCUCUUCAUUUUUAAAUACAUAAAUAGAAAACAACACAUCUGACCUGCUAAUAUGUGACUGAGCUCAAAGCAUUUACUGAAGGAGAUUCUAAACAAUAUCCAG